Molecule: ribosomal RNA, 434 nt
Filed under: Shigella flexneri
Lineage: Bacteria; Pseudomonadati; Pseudomonadota; Gammaproteobacteria; Enterobacterales; Enterobacteriaceae
Description: bacterial SSU rRNA
Rfam family: Bacterial small subunit ribosomal RNA
Source: RNAcentral
AAAUUGAAGAGUUUGAUCAUGGCUCAGAUUGAACGCUGGCGGCAGGCCUAACACAUGCAAGUCGAACGGUAACAGGAAGCAGCUUGCUGUUUCGCUGACGAGUGGCGGACGGGUGAGUAAUGUCUGGGAAACUGCCUGAUGGAGGGGGAUAACUACUGGAAACGGUAGCUAAUACCGCAUAACGUCGCAAGACCAAAGAGGGGGACCUUCGGGCCUCUUGCCAUCGGAUGUGCCCAGAUGGGAUUAGCUAGUAGGUGGGGUAACGGCUCACCUAGGCGACGAUCCCUAGCUGGUCUGAGAGGAUGACCAGCCACACUGGAACUGAGACACGGUCCAGACUCCUACGGGAGGCAGCAGUGGGGAAUAUUGCACAAUGGGCGCAAGCCUGAUGCAGCCAUGCCGCGUGUAUGAAGAAGGCCUUCGGGUUGUAAAGU